RNAcentral lists this long non-coding RNA (770 nucleotides) under Ananas comosus (pineapple). RNAcentral describes it as "long non-coding RNA (ACOM_LNC011306)". The record is from RNAcentral. Lineage: Eukaryota; Viridiplantae; Streptophyta; Magnoliopsida; Poales; Bromeliaceae.
UUAAACAUUUAUAUUUUAAUAUUCAACAAAAUAGAGGUGUUUUCUGGUAAUAUAUAUAAAUAUAUAUAAAGUUCGGCUAUGGUGCUUGUAAAUUUUUUAUCGUUAGAUCUAUCAUUUUGAUCAUUUUUAUCUGUUAGAUCAUACUAUUCAACCAACCACCCACUCAACCUUAGAGAUCUCACAUCAUCCUAACCGCACAUCUCUUAAUCCAAUGGUCAAAAAUAUAUAAGUACCAAUAACAUAAUAUUUUUAAAAGUAUAGAAACCCAAUUUUAUAUAUAUAUAUAUAUAUAUAUAUAUAUAUAUAUAAAAUUCAAAAGGGCCGUGAAGAUUUACUAAUACUUCAAAUCUGACCAAAACUGUCAGGAAUAUACUGAUCAUAUUAUAUGUAUCAUAAUAAUAAAGUUUCAAAGGAGUUGGAAAACACCGCAAUAAGAGAUCAAGGAGCUACCACCAAACAUAUAGUUCCACUAAGUAAUUAAUGAGACUGCAACCGACAGUCCCUAGAGCAAGUGGCAAAGGGCUUGGUGGUUGGUAUCUGAGACCCAAAUUCGAAUCCUAGUUGAUUCACAUUUUCAGCUAAGUUUAUUUCUAAACAAAAUAAACGAAACGGAUAGCGUGCUACCUAUCUCUCAAAAAAAAAAAAAAAUAAUGAGACUGCAGGAACCAAGCUAUAGAGAGAGAAAGAGAGAGCUCAAUAUAUACAAGGGAGGGAAUCAUGGGAAUGGUUAUGUUGUUAAACGAAUUAAUACUUGGAAUGUUCUUCCAACA